Non-coding RNA from Urocitellus parryii (Arctic ground squirrel), 333 nucleotides. The record is from RefSeq and is a predicted model, not a curated record. NCBI's taxonomy places the organism in Eukaryota, Metazoa, Chordata, Mammalia, Rodentia, Sciuridae.
ACUGCCUGCAGAAGAUCAACUGUCCCCACUGUCCUCGGGUCUUCCCUUGGGCCAGCUCCCUCCAGAGGCACAUGCUCACACACACUGGUCAGAAACCCUUCCCUUGUCAAAAAUGCGAUGCCUUCUUUUCUACCAAAUCUAACUGUGAACGCCACCAGUUGCGCAAACACGGAGUUACCACCUGUUCCCUGAGAAGAAACGGGCUUAUCCCCCCAAAAGAGAGUGAUGUUGGAUCCCAUGAUAGCACAGAUAGCCAGUCAGACUCGGAAACACUGGCGGUGGCAGGUGAGGUGCUGGACCUCACCGCACGGGACAAGGAGCAGCUGCCAUCAG